UCGUGCUAGACGGGGCAGUAGCGGUGCCCUGUACCCGCAAUCCGCUAGAGCGGGGUCGAAUUCCCAUCCGAGGAUUGAUCUUGUAGAGUCUGGUUUAGGUAAGUGGUGUUGACGAUUGGGU
Molecule: signal recognition particle RNA, 121 nt
Filed under: Bacillota bacterium
Lineage: Bacteria; Bacillati; Bacillota
Description: Firmicutes bacterium (anaerobic digester metagenome) partial signal recognition particle sRNA large type
Rfam family: Bacterial large signal recognition particle RNA
About the family: The signal recognition particle (SRP) is a universally conserved ribonucleoprotein involved in the co-translational targeting of proteins to membranes. Archaeal SRP consists of a 7S RNA and homologues of the eukaryotic SRP19 and SRP54 proteins.
Source: RNAcentral